GGGUGAGUAAUGUAUAGCUAACCUGCCCUUUAGUGGGGGACAACAGUUGGAAACGACUGCUAAUACCCCAUACUCCUGCUUAUCAUAAGGUAAGUUGGGAAAGAUUUAUUGCUAAAGGAUGGGGCUUUAUGGUAUCAGCUAGUUGGUGGGGUAAUGGCCUACCAAGGCGAUGACGCCUACCUGGUCUGAGAGGAUGAUCAGGCACACUGGAACUGAGACACGGUCCAGACUCCUACGGGAGGCAGCAGUGGGGAAUAUUGCACAAUGGGGGAAACCCUGAUGCAGCAACGCCGCGUGGAGGAUGACGCAUUUCGGUGUGUAAACUCCUUUUAUAAGGGAAGAUAAUGACGGUACCUUAUGAAUAAGCACCGGCUAACUCCGUGCCAGCAGCCGCGGUAAUACGGAGGGUGCAAGCGUUACUCGGAAUCACUGGGCGUAAAGGAUGCGUAGGCUGGAGAUCAAGUCAGGAGUGAAAUCCAACGGCUCAACCGUUGAACUGCCCCUGAAACUGGUCACCUAGAAUAUGGGAGAGGUAGAUGGAAUUGGUGGUGUAGGGGUAAAAU
RNAcentral lists this ribosomal RNA (563 nucleotides) under uncultured bacterium. RNAcentral's name for it is "bacterial SSU rRNA". It matches the Rfam family "Bacterial small subunit ribosomal RNA", at positions 104 to 687 of the family's 1533-position model. The record is from RNAcentral.